GACGAACGCUGGCGGCGUGCCUAAUACAUGCAAGUCGAACGAAGUGGCGAACGGGUGAGUAAUACGUGGGUAACGUGCCCUCCUUUUUGGGAUAAGCCAUGGAAACGGGGUCUAAUACCGAAUAAAGGGGGCUGGGCUCGCGGCCUAUCAGCUGGUUGGUGGGGUGAUAGCCUACCAAUGCGGUGACGGGUAGCCGGGCUGAGAGGCUAACCUGCCACAUUGGGACUGAGAUACGGUCCAACGUCCUACGGGAGGCAGCAGUAGGGAAUAUUGCGCAAAGGUGGAAACCCUGACGCAGCGACGCCGCGUGGGGGAUGAAGGCUUUCGGGUUGUAAACCUCUUUCGCUAUCGAACCGGUAGGUGGAGAAGAAGCGCCGGCUAACUACGUGCCAGCAGCCGCGGUAAUUC
This 408-nucleotide ribosomal RNA is filed under the name uncultured bacterium. RNAcentral's name for it is "partial 16S ribosomal RNA". It matches the Rfam family "Bacterial small subunit ribosomal RNA", at positions 28 to 526 of the family's 1533-position model. The record is from RNAcentral.